Molecule: long non-coding RNA, 739 nt
Organism: Physeter macrocephalus (sperm whale)
Lineage: Eukaryota; Metazoa; Chordata; Mammalia; Artiodactyla; Physeteridae
Exons: 3
Source: RefSeq, a predicted model, not a curated record
UUCAAGCUGUUACUUUCCGGGUCCAGCGCCUGCUGCGAGCAACGCGCUGUUCUAGGGGCGAAGCCGAGAACUACUUUUCGUGGAGCUGAGGUUCAGCGAUGUGUGUGAGGGACACUCACAAUAAACAUCAUAAAUAAGUAAAUUCUAUAAGAGGCUGCGUAGCGAAAUGGAGUCUGCGUCCAGAUUUAUUGGGUUUCAAUCCCAGAUUCGCCACUUACUAGCUGUGUUACCCCGAGCAAAUUGCUUCAUCGUUCUGUGCUUCACUUUCCUCCUCAGUUAAUGAGGAUCAUCAUAGUGUCUACUUCAGAGUUGGUGUGAGAGUUGAAUGAGGAUACUCUCUGUGAGCCCAGCUGCUCUGUUGUGAGGAAGCCCAAGCCACGUGAAGAGUCUCCCAGAUAAGGUCCCAGCCGAAACCAGCAUCAACCACCAGAGAAGUAAGUGAGUGAACGUUGAGAUGAUUCCAGCCCCCAGGCUUUGAACCAUCCCAGCUGACACCAAGAGGAGCAGAGAGAGAACUGUUCCCAUCAAGCCCGGCCCAAACUGCAGUAACUACUUCCUCAAGUCCAUGGGCGACACUCAACUUGAGCUAAGAACGGGGAGUAAACACUCAGCAGAAGUAAAGCACAUAGAACGGAUAAGACAUUGGCCAUAAAUGCUUCCGACAGCGCCCCAACCCAGUCGGGUCAGGCGGAUUCCUGAGCGGGGAGCUCCAACUCCCACGGGGAGCCAAGAGCAAACA